UAGGGAAUAUUGCUUAAUGGGCGAAAGCCUGAAGCAGCAACGCCGCGUGCACGAUGAAGGUCUUCGGAUCGUAGAGUGCUUUUUUAGAGGAUGAGGAAGGACAGUACUCUAAGAAUAAGCCUCGGCUAACUACGUGCCAGCAGCCGCGGUAAAACGUAGGAGGCGAGCGUUAUCCGGAUUUACUGGGCGUAAAGCGUGUGCAGGCGGUUUGGUAAGUUGGAUGUGAAAGCUCCUGGCUUAACUGGGAGAGGUCGUUCAAUACUGCCAGACUUGAGAGUGAGAGAGGGAGGUGGAAUUCCGGGUGUAGUGGUGAGAUGCGUAGAUAUCCGGAGGAACACCAGUGGCGAAAGCGGCCUCCUGGCUCAUUUCUGACACUCAUACACGAAAGCUAGGGUAGCAAACG
This 403-nucleotide ribosomal RNA is filed under the name uncultured bacterium. RNAcentral's name for it is "bacterial SSU rRNA". It matches the Rfam family "Bacterial small subunit ribosomal RNA", at positions 355 to 774 of the family's 1533-position model. The record is from RNAcentral.